RNAcentral lists this ribosomal RNA (467 nucleotides) under uncultured bacterium. Its description in RNAcentral is "partial 16S ribosomal RNA". It matches the Rfam family "Bacterial small subunit ribosomal RNA", at positions 29 to 507 of the family's 1533-position model. The record is from RNAcentral.
ACGAACGCUGGCGGCGUGCUUCACACAUGCACGUCGAACGGAAAGGCCCUGCUUUUGUGGGGUGCUCGAGUGGCGAACGGGUGAGUAACACGUGAGUAACCUGCCCUUGACUUUGGGAUAACUUCAGGAAACUGGGGCUAAUACCGGAUAGGAGCUCCUGCUGCAUGGUGGGGGUUGGAAAGUUUCGGCGGUUGGGGAUGGACUCGCGGCUUAUCAGCUUGUUGGUGGGGUAGUGGCUUACCAAGGCUUUGACGGGUAGCCGGCCUGAGAGGGUGACCGGCCACAUUGGGACGGAGAUACGGCCCAGACUCCUACGGGAGGCAGCAGUGGGGAAUAUUGCACAAUGGGCGGAAGCCUGAUGCAGCAACGCCGCGUGCGGGAUGACGGCCUUCGGGUUGUAAACCGCUUUCGCCUGUGACGAAGCGUGAGUGACGGUAAUGGGUAAAGAAGCACCGGCUAACUACGUG